UGGGGAAUCUUAGACAAUGGGCGCAAGCCUGAUCUAGCCAUGCCGCGUGAGUGAUGAAGGCCUUAGGGUUGUAAAGCUCUUUCAGCUGGGAAGAUAAUGACUGUACCAGCAGAAGAAGCCCCGGCUAACUCCGUGCCAGCAGCCGCGGUAAUACGGAGGGGGCUAGCGUUGUUCGGAAUUACUGGGCGUAAAGCGCACGUAGGCGGACUGGAAAGUCAGGGGUGAAAUCCCGGGGCUCAACCCCGGAACUGCCUUUGAAACUCCCAGUCUUGAGGUCGAGAGAGGUGAGUGGAAUUCCGAGUGUAGAGGUGAAAUUCGUAGAUAUUCGGAGGAACACCAGUGGCGAAGGCGGCUCACUGGCUCGAUACUGACGCUGAGGCACGAAGGCCAGGGGAGCGAAAGGG
This 404-nucleotide ribosomal RNA is filed under the name uncultured bacterium. RNAcentral describes it as "bacterial SSU rRNA". It matches the Rfam family "Bacterial small subunit ribosomal RNA", at positions 355 to 776 of the family's 1533-position model. The record is from RNAcentral.